RNAcentral lists this ribosomal RNA (301 nucleotides) under uncultured bacterium. RNAcentral describes it as "partial 16S ribosomal RNA". It matches the Rfam family "Bacterial small subunit ribosomal RNA", at positions 509 to 809 of the family's 1533-position model. The record is from RNAcentral.
CAGCCGCCGCGGUAAUACAGAGGAUGCAAGCGUUAUCCGGAAUGAUUGGGCGUAAAGCGUCUGUAGGUGGCUUUUCAAGUCCGCCGUCAAAUCCCGGGGCUCAACCGUGGACAGGCGGUGGAAACUACCAAGCUGGAGUACGGUAGGGGCAGAGGGAAUUUCCGAUGGAGCGGUGAAAUGCGUUGAGAUCGGAAAGAACACCAACGGAGAAAGCACUCUGCUGGGCCGACACUGACACUGAGAGACGAAAUCUAGGGGAGCAAAUGGGAUUAGAUACCCCCGUAGUCCCUGUCUCUUAUAA